AAUCAACGCUGGCGGCGUGCCUCAGACAUGCAAGUCGAACGCGAAAGCCUCCUUCGGGAGCAAGUAGAGUGGCGCACGGGUGAGUAACACGUAGGUAAUCUACCUUCGGGUGGGAAUAACAACCGGAAACGGUUGCUAAUACCGCAUAAUGCAGCGGCACCUAAUGGUGACAGUUGUUAAAGCGGGGGAUCAAAGAUCUCGCGCCUGAAGAGGAGCCUGCGGCGGAUUAGCAGUUGGUAGGGUAACGGCCUACCAAGGCGACGAUCCGUAGCCGGCCUGAGAGGGCGGUCGGCCACACUGACACUGACAUACGGGUCAGACUCCUACGGGAGGCAGCAGUCGGGAA
Molecule: ribosomal RNA, 346 nt
Filed under: uncultured bacterium
Lineage: Bacteria
Description: bacterial SSU rRNA
Rfam family: Bacterial small subunit ribosomal RNA
Source: RNAcentral